GUCCAAGUCCACGAUUCUCAUGAGCACCCUUUAUGAGUCCUGGAAUAUCAGCCACUGUGAUUGAGAAGUCAUCAAACUUCAGUUUACCUAAAUUUGGUCUAAGAGUCGUGAAGGCAUAAUGACCUACCCUAGGUUUUGCCCUGGAUAAAGCUCCCAAAAGAGUACUUUUACCAGCAUUUGGCAUUCCAACAAGGCCCACAUCAGCAAUGCUUUUCAGUUCCAAUACAAGAACAGCCUCUGAGCCAGGCAAACCACAGCUAAGGCAGGACUGAUCCUCACUGGACAUUUCAGGAUCAAAGGCAUUAUCCCUAUUGACUCCAGGCUUA
Molecule: unclassified non-coding RNA, 326 nt
Filed under: Hevea brasiliensis (rubber tree)
Lineage: Eukaryota; Viridiplantae; Streptophyta; Magnoliopsida; Malpighiales; Euphorbiaceae
Source: RNAcentral